RNAcentral lists this ribosomal RNA (253 nucleotides) under uncultured bacterium. Its description in RNAcentral is "partial 16S ribosomal RNA". It matches the Rfam family "Bacterial small subunit ribosomal RNA", at positions 524 to 776 of the family's 1533-position model. The record is from RNAcentral.
UACGUAGGGGGCAAGCGUUGUCCGGAAUCAUUGGGCGUAAAGAGCGUGUAGGCGGUUCGGUAAGUCGGUUGUGAAAGUCCGGGGCUCAACCCCGGGAGGCGGGUGGAUACUGUCGAGCUAGAGUCCGGAAGAGGCGAGUGGAAUUCCUGGUGUAGCGGUGAAAUGCGCAGAUAUCAGGAGGAACACCAAUGGCGAAGGCAGCUCGCUGGGACGGUACUGACGCUGAGACGCGAAAGCGUGGGGAGCAAACAGG